GGCCCAGGAACUGCAUCGGGAUGAGGUUUGCUCAGGUGAGCAUGAAGCUGGCCAUCGUGGAGAUCCUGCAGAGGUUCGACGUAUCCGUGUGUGACCAGACUCAGGUUCCUCUGGAGCUCGGCACCAGUGGUCUCCUGGUCCCCAAGGACCCCAUCAAACUCCAGUUCAAGCCUCGGAAGGUUUUCCUCUCAGAAGAUACGUGUAACAACAACACAUCGUAAAGAAGCUCUGCUGCUCGCUUCUCUUUCAGUCCGAGGAGAAGGUUUAACUGGUCUUUUAUAA
Molecule: long non-coding RNA, 282 nt
Organism: Sinocyclocheilus grahami
Lineage: Eukaryota; Metazoa; Chordata; Actinopteri; Cypriniformes; Cyprinidae
Exons: 2
Source: RefSeq, a predicted model, not a curated record